Molecule: ribosomal RNA, 385 nt
Filed under: uncultured soil bacterium
Lineage: Bacteria
Description: bacterial SSU rRNA
Rfam family: Bacterial small subunit ribosomal RNA
Source: RNAcentral
AGAUUGAACGCUAGCGGGAUGCUUUACACAUGCAAGUCGAACGGCAGCGCGGACUUCGGUCUGGCGGCGAGUGGCGAACGGGUGAGUAAUAUAUCGGAACGUGCCCAGUAGCGGGGGAUAACUACGCGAAAGCGUGGCUAAUACCGCAUACGCCCUACGGGGGAAAGGGGGGGAUCGCAAGACCUCUCACUAUUGGAGCGGCCGAUAUCAGAUUAGCUAGUUGGUGAGGUAAAGGCUCACCAAGGCGACGAUCUGUAGCUGGUUUGAGAGGACGACCAGCCACACUGGGACUGAGACACGGCCCAGACUCCUACGGGAGCAGCAGUGGGGAAUUUUGGACAAUGGGGGAAACCCUGAUCCAGCCAUCCCGCGUGUGCGAUGAAGG